CCUGGCAGGUGAUCUAUGGGAGCCCUUAGUAAGCACAGAUCUCACCCCCAGACUCAAUUUAACCCCAGAGCUAAAUCACAGCAUCCCUGUGGGCUCCACCCAACUUCUGCUCACUCACCUCUGGGGAUGGAGUGCUCACCUCUUUCUAGAAUUCUUCAGUCAGCACCUACUGGGUGCUAGCCUCUGUGCUGGGUGCUGGGUGCUGGGUGCAGCAGCAGGAAAGCUGAGGCUUCUGCCCCCGAAACAAGCACCGGACAUUCUAGGUCAGCUGGGUCCCCUCCGGGUGGCUCAGCUCUUGGCAACCUUCACCCCUGGAUACGUGAGGACAUGGAGAACUAUUCCCAAUGCAUUAAGUGAGAAAAGCAGGUCACCACAGGGAUGCAGCAAGACUAUGAUGCCACUUCGGUCUUAAAAAAAAAUCUGUAACUGCCUGGUUCUGGAGCAACUGGGCCCAAAAUGUGACCCGGCCAUCGGCAGGUGGUAAAGGUCCCAGGGGAGCCUUAUUUUCCUGAGCCUCUUGUCUAUUUGCUGAAUUUUCCACAAUGAACGUAUAUUAUUCGUCACUAGGGGGGAACUCUGCCAAUUGACGCCUCCUCUUGGCUGGGCUGAAGUCUGCGUCCCCGUUUGUGUCCUGCUUUCUGGAGCACCACAGAGCAAGUGAGAGAACUUG
This is a non-coding RNA of Callorhinus ursinus (northern fur seal), 670 nucleotides long. NCBI's taxonomy places the organism in Eukaryota, Metazoa, Chordata, Mammalia, Carnivora, Otariidae. The record is from RefSeq and is a predicted model, not a curated record.